AGUGAACGCUGGCGGUAGGCCUAACACAUGCAAGUCGAACGGCAGCACAGGAGAGCUUGCUCUCUGGGUGGCGAGUGGCGGACGGGUGAGGAAUACAUCGGAAUCUACUUUUUCGUGGGGGAUAACGUAGGGAAACUUACGCUAAUACCGCAUACGACCUACGGGUGAAAGCAGGGGACCUUCGGGCCUUGCGCGAUUGAAUGAGCCGAUGUCGGAUUAGCUAGUUGGCGGGGUAAAGGCCCACCAAGGCGACGAUCCGUAGCUGGUCUGAGAGGAGGAUCAGCCACACUGGAACUGAGACACGGUCCAGACGCCUACGGGAGGCAGCAGUGGGGAAUAUUGGACAAUGGGCGCAAGCCUGAUCCAGCCAUACCGCGUGGGUGAAGAGGGCCUUCGGGUUGUAAAGCCCUUUUGUUGGGAAAGAAAUCCAGCUGGCUAAUACCCGGUUGGGAUGACGGUACCCAAAGAAUAAGCACCGGCUAACUUCGUGCCAGCAGCCGCGGUAA
This 506-nucleotide ribosomal RNA is filed under the name uncultured bacterium. RNAcentral's name for it is "partial 16S ribosomal RNA". It matches the Rfam family "Bacterial small subunit ribosomal RNA", at positions 29 to 523 of the family's 1533-position model. The record is from RNAcentral.